This 253-nucleotide ribosomal RNA is filed under the name uncultured bacterium. RNAcentral's name for it is "partial 16S ribosomal RNA". It matches the Rfam family "Bacterial small subunit ribosomal RNA", at positions 524 to 776 of the family's 1533-position model. The record is from RNAcentral.
UACGUAGGUGGCAAGCGUUGUCCGGAAUUAUUGGGCGUAAAGCGCGCGUAGGCGGUCUUUUAAGUCUGAUGUGAAAGCCCACGGCUCAACCGUGGAGCGUCAUUGGAAACUGUGAGACUUGAGUACAGAAGAGAAGAGUGGAAUUCCACGUGUAGCGGUGAAAUGCGUAGAGAUGUGGAGGAACACCAGUGGCGAAGGCGACUCGUUGGUCUUUAACUGACGCUGAGGCGCGAAAGCGUGGGGAGCAAACAGG